AGUCCCGUAGUUCAAUAGUUAGAACGUCAGGGUAUUAUUCUUAAUUAUCCGUCUACUAUCUCUUAAGUAUAUUUAAAAGUAUAAUUAGCGGAUCACUUCUAAAUAAUAUACCCGAAAGUCACAAGUUCGAAUCCUGCCGGGACCA
This 145-nucleotide transfer RNA is filed under the name Neurospora tetrasperma FGSC 2509. It matches the Rfam family "tRNA". From Rfam's summary of the family: Transfer RNA (tRNA) molecules are approximately 80 nucleotides in length. Lineage: Eukaryota; Fungi; Ascomycota; Sordariomycetes; Sordariales; Sordariaceae. The record is from Rfam by way of RNAcentral.